Molecule: ribosomal RNA, 253 nt
Filed under: uncultured bacterium
Lineage: Bacteria
Description: partial 16S ribosomal RNA
Rfam family: Bacterial small subunit ribosomal RNA
Source: RNAcentral
UACAGAGGUCUCAAGCGUUGUUCGGAUUCAUUGGGCGUACAGGGCGCGUAGGCGGCGCGGUAAGUCGGGUGUGAAAUCUUGGAGCUUAACUCCGAAACUGCAUUCGAUACUGCCGUGCUUGAGGACUGGAGAGGAGACUGGAAUUUACGGUGUAGCGGUGAAAUGCGUAGAUAUCGUAAGGAAGACCAGUGGCGAAGGCGGGUCUCUGGACAGUUCCUGACGCUGAGGCACGAAGGCCAGGGGAGCAAACGGG